Molecule: ribosomal RNA, 497 nt
Filed under: uncultured bacterium
Lineage: Bacteria
Description: partial 16S ribosomal RNA
Rfam family: Bacterial small subunit ribosomal RNA
Source: RNAcentral
GAUGAACGCUGGCGGCGUGCCUAAUACAUGCAAGUCGAGCGAACAGACGAGGAGCUUGCUCCUCUGACGUUAGCGGCGGACGGGUGAGUAACACGUGGAUAACCUACCUAUAAGACUGGGAUAACUUCGGGAAACCGGAGCUAAUACCGGAUAACAUGUUGAACCGCAUGGUUCAACAGUGAAAGACGGUCUUGCUGUCACUUAUAGAUGGAUCCGCGCCGCAUUAGCUAGUUGGUAAGGUAACGGCUUACCAAGGCAACGAUGCGUAGCCGACCUGAGAGGGUGAUCGGCCACACUGGAACUGAGACACGGUCCAGACUCCUACGGGAGGCAGCAGUAGGGAAUCUUCCGCAAUGGGCGAAAGCCUGACGGAGCAACGCCGCGUGAGUGAAGAAGGUCUUCGGAUCGUAAAACUCUGUUUUUAGGGAAGAACAAAUGUGUAAGUAACUAUGCACGUCUUGACGGUACCUAAUCAGAAAGCCACGGCUAACUACGUG